UACGUAGGGUGCGAGCGUUAAUCGGAAUUACUGGGCGUAAAGCGUGCGCAGGCGGUUAUUUAAGACAGAUGUGAAAUCCCCGGGCUUAACCUGGGAACUGCGUUUGUGACUGGAUAGCUAGAGUGCGGCAGAGGGGGGUGGAAUUCCACGUGUAGCAGUGAAAUGCGUAGAGAUGUGGAGGAACACCGAUGGCGAAGGCAGCCCCCUGGGUCGACACUGACGCUCAUGCACGAAAGCGUGGGGAG
RNAcentral lists this ribosomal RNA (245 nucleotides) under uncultured bacterium. RNAcentral describes it as "partial 16S ribosomal RNA". It matches the Rfam family "Bacterial small subunit ribosomal RNA", at positions 524 to 768 of the family's 1533-position model. The record is from RNAcentral.